AUCUGUGCGCUGUGUGAAGGCAGGCACAACCUACCCGAAGGCCCCUUCGUCUUGGAGGGGCAUAUAUGUAUAUUGCAGUCGAGUCGUAGCAGCGUGCACUCCCUCCGCAGACACACGCGCACCUCUUUACAUUUGCGCUGGUGUACCGACUCUGUCACGAACACACUCGUUUUCGCGUUGUUGUCUGUAUUCUCCCCCAAGGUGUUCGGGUGGCCGCUCUUAUAUUGUUCCAGUCGCCAUGACGGAUGCUGCGGCGCGGGAUGCAUACACCGCCUACGGCGUGGAUUUGAUCCGUACAGCGGGGCUGCUUCUGCGAACCACACCCUCCACAAUUUACCGCGCCUCGAUUCUCUUCCAGCGCUUCGAGGCGUCCGUCGAGACGCACUUCCGUUCUCAGUACAUCAGCGCACUCGACAUGCCCGCUUAUCGAAAUUGUCUCAACGAGGAUCUCAAGCGUGCCCAACUCGAGUUGCUGGCUGCCUCAUCGCCCACCGGCAGUCCAUCCAUGACGGAGAAGACACGUGAUGCUCCGAGCAAGCCUGCGUACCCGGCCGGCGUCGAGUAUCUCGUGCCGAACCACGUGCAGCUCAAGAUGCGCACUGGUCUCGUUCCUUUGGUCGACCUACACGCCCCACUCGACUACUGCAUUCAUCACUUGUCGGAUCAUGAGGACAUCAUGUAUCUCGUGGCGGCCUGCCUGCUUAUCGCUACCAAAAUGGAGGACCCGUCGACGCGCAUUCGCGCCGUGGUGAACGUCUGCAUGCGACUGAGCCUACGCCGCAGCGGAACUCCUGUAAAUGAGCAGUCCAAGCCCUCUCUUGCACGCUACGAAGACUUCAAGGCCUGCGUGGUAGAGGCAGAGGAGGUGGUCCUGCACCAGCUUGGCUUUCAGACGUUUGUCGAGAGCCCCUACAAGUACGUUCUACUGUACUUGAAUAUCUUGUCGGAGCCGGCCAGUGACGAUGCGCAGAGCGGCAUCGGCGCCGUCAGGGGUGACCCGAGUGCUGGCGCGAACGGAACGACUCGUCCAAGCGCCGCCGCCGUAGCAAAAACCGCACGACCGCCUGCGGCUCUGACGCAGUGGAUGAUACGUGCGGUGCAGGUCGUGAACGACCUCCCGCGAUGCCGCCGGCUCCUCGCUGUUCCCGCCGACGCGCUCGCCAUCUACGCCAUACAGCAAUCGUGUCCGCCCGACCUCACUCUACCCGACAAAUGGUCCACGGCGUUCGGGGUAAGCGAGCGCCUUCUCAAGGCCAUCUCGUAUCGAUACGGGGUAUACAGCAGCAACAGUGUUGGAAGCCGUCCUGCGACAGCCGCGUUGGCAGACGCGCGAGCGCUUAGCACGGUUCCGCUGUACCGCACCGUUGCCGAGCGGGAUCAGUAUAACCUUGCCAUGGAGCAACUCAAGGUGGCUCGAGAAACAGCCGCAGAGGCGAGCGCCAAGACCUCGCUUAGUGUAUCGCCCGCUCCGCCGCCGCCGCCAUCGUCCUCCGGCGCUGCAGGGCCACUGCCGGCAUCCUUUGCCAACCCGGCGAGCAUCGAAGAACUGCGCGAUCUGAUUGGUGCCUCCCUCCCUUCCGACGCCGUUCAUGGCGCGUCGAGACGCCGUUCGCGUCACGACGACGACGAGAACAUUCUCGUGCGGAGGUCGAAGCAUGAAAAGCGCCACCACCGGCGCCAUAACGACGACGGAGAGUUGCGGCGGCGUCGCCAUCACCGCAAGUGAGCCGGUCAUCCGCGAAGGCACCCAUACCAACCCUAGGCAUGGCGCGCGCCUCCGGUGCCACUCCGUCCUCCCUGUGCCUCCCCGUUUUGUAUGUGUCUGUCUGUGUGUGUGUGUGUGUGUGUGUUGGUGUGUUCUGCAGAUAAGGGCGCACAUGUGUGAUGCGGCCUUUAAAAAAAGAGUGUUCUUCUUUGGUCAAGGCAUCUGCUCGCUGCCACCGCCCAUGAGCUCAGCGCCACUCGAUUUCCCCCUCCCUCCCUCCCCCACGGCCGCUCCUCCCAUCAUGCCAGGUCGCCACGGGGUGCAUCCCCCUCGAGGUGGCCACUCCGGCUUCUCCAAACCGAGAGGUGGGGUAGGGGAGGGGCACCGGAGCGUGUGUGAUAUGCCACCACGCACUAAGGGGUGCGUCCCUUCCCCUCAUCCCUCCUUCCACCGUCUUCAGGAGGUCGAG
Molecule: unclassified non-coding RNA, 2174 nt
Filed under: Leishmania donovani
Lineage: Eukaryota; Euglenozoa; Kinetoplastea; Trypanosomatida; Trypanosomatidae
Description: gene:LdHU3.36.7800(CDS-product:hypothetical_prote in_conserved)
Source: RNAcentral